AGAUUGAACGCUGGCGGCAUGCCUUACACAUGCAAGUCGAACGGCAGCACGGGAGCAAUCCUGGUGGCGAGUGGCGAACGGGUGAGUAAUACAUCGGAACGUGCCCAAUCGUGGGGGAUAACGCAGCGAAAGCUGUGCUAAUACCGCAUAAGAUCUACGGAUGAAAGCAGGGGAUCGCAAGACCUUGCGCGAAUGGAGCGGCCGAUGGCAGAUUAGGUAGUUGGUGAGGUAAAGGCUCACCAAGCCUUCGAUCUGUAGCUGGUCUGAGAGGACGACCAGCCACACUGGGACUGAGACACGGCCCAGACUCCUACGGGAGGCAGCAGUGGGGAAUUUUGGACAAUGGGCGAAAGCCUGAUCCAGCCAUGCCGCGUGCAGGAUGAAGGCCUUCGGUGUAAACUGCUUUGUACGAACGAAAGUCUCUUUACUAAUAAGAGGAUCAUGACGUACCGUAAGAAUAAGCACCGGCUAACUACGUACG
RNAcentral lists this ribosomal RNA (481 nucleotides) under uncultured soil bacterium. RNAcentral describes it as "bacterial SSU rRNA". It matches the Rfam family "Bacterial small subunit ribosomal RNA", at positions 26 to 509 of the family's 1533-position model. The record is from RNAcentral.